UUAAAACACUACUAAACAUUCAGAGUUUGGUCUGUUCCUCCUCCCUCUGUCUUCCCUGCGCAUGCGCCUCCUUGCCCGACACUCAGCCACGCACGCGCUCGGCUCGUUCACGCGCAGCUGCAUGUUGUUGCCAGAGAGCAGAUGGAGAGAGAGAAGAAGAGUUAGUUUGUGUCCACAGCAGCAGCAGCAGAAGAAGAGACGGAUCUUUAACAGAAGAGAGAAACAGAAGAAGAAGUUGGAGGACUUGUGUUAAAACUUAUUUCUGUGUAAACUCUGCGCAUGCGCCGCGUGCAGCUGUUUGCGUCGCUCUCUCCGGGUAUAACGGACCGAUUGUGUCACCGGGCUCGGUGGUGACGUCACCGACCGCUGAUCCGGAGCACCGUGGUUGAAGCGCGCUCCCGCCGAGCACAUGCACCUGUCCUCAAGUCUAGUCCACUACAGACAGGGACUGAAACCAGCCUAGUCCACUACAGACAGGGACUGGAACCAGCCUGGUCCACUACAGACAGGGACUGGAACCAGCCCUGUAGACCUGUUAAAGGGUCCAGACCACCAGCUCUGUUAGUGACCCGUCACAGUCUCCGGGGGAAACAGCGUUACCAUGGGGACGUAAACAGACCCGGGCCAGAACCGGUUCAGGCAGUCUGUCUGUGUGUGUGUGUGUGUGUCUGUGUGUGUGUGUGUGUGUGUGUGUCUGUG
Molecule: long non-coding RNA, 699 nt
Organism: Perca fluviatilis (European perch)
Lineage: Eukaryota; Metazoa; Chordata; Actinopteri; Perciformes; Percidae
Exons: 4
Source: RefSeq, a predicted model, not a curated record